This 253-nucleotide ribosomal RNA is filed under the name uncultured bacterium. RNAcentral's name for it is "partial 16S ribosomal RNA". It matches the Rfam family "Bacterial small subunit ribosomal RNA", at positions 524 to 776 of the family's 1533-position model. The record is from RNAcentral.
UACGUAAGUGGCGAGCGUUAUCCGGAAUUACUGGGCGUAAAGCGUGUGUAGGCGGUUUAGUGUGUGGGAAUUGAAAGCCCGGGGCUCAACUCCGGAUCCGGUUCCCAAACUGCUAGACUCGAGAGUAUCAGAGGAGAGCGGAAUUCCCGGUGUAGCGGUAAUAUGCGUAGAUAUCAGGAGGAACACCUGUGGCGAAAGCGGCUCACUGGACCAUAACUGACGCUGAUGCACGAAAGCUAGGGGAGCAAACAGG